This 326-nucleotide ribosomal RNA is filed under the name Hepatozoon felis. Its description in RNAcentral is "partial small subunit ribosomal RNA". It matches the Rfam family "Eukaryotic small subunit ribosomal RNA", at positions 518 to 849 of the family's 1831-position model. The record is from RNAcentral. Lineage: Eukaryota; Apicomplexa; Hepatozoidae.
GAUAGAAAUUUAAACACUUUUUAAAGUAUCAAUUAGGAGGGCAAGUCUGGUGCCAGCAGCCGCGGUAAUUCCAGCUCCAAUAGCGUAUAUUAAAAUUGUUGCAGUUAAAAAGCUCGUAGUUGAAUUUCUGCUAAAAAUAACCGGUCUGCUUUUAAUAAAGGUGGUAUCUUGGUGUGUUUUUAGCAAUAAUGUCCUUUGAAAUGUUUUUUACUUCAUUGUAAUAAAUUAUAUUCUAGGAUUUUUACUUUGAGAAAAUUAGAGUGUUUCUAGCAGGCUAAUGCUUUGAAUACUGCAGCAUGGAAUAAUAAAAUAGRAUUUUGGUUCUA